GGUUCUAUAGGUGUAGUGGUUAUCACGUCUGCUUUACACGCAGAAGGUCCUGGGUUCAAUCCCUAGUAGAAUCA
Cheilinus undulatus (humphead wrasse) is the source of this 74-nucleotide non-coding RNA. NCBI's taxonomy places the organism in Eukaryota, Metazoa, Chordata, Actinopteri, Labriformes, Labridae. The record is from the annotation of a RefSeq genome assembly.